RNAcentral lists this ribosomal RNA (836 nucleotides) under uncultured bacterium. RNAcentral describes it as "bacterial SSU rRNA". It matches the Rfam family "Bacterial small subunit ribosomal RNA", at positions 32 to 916 of the family's 1533-position model. The record is from RNAcentral.
AACGAUGGCGGAGGCCUAACACAUGCAAGUCGAGCGCGCCCUUCGGGGUGAGCGGCGGACGGGUUAGUAACGCGUGGGAAUAUACCCGACACUAAGGAAUAGCCUCUGGAAACGGAGAGUAAUACCUUAUACGCCCUUCGGGGGAAAGAUUUAUCGGUGACGGAUUAGCCCGCGUUAGAUUAGAUAGUUGGUGGGGUAAUGGCCUACCAAGUCUACGAUCUAUAGCUGGUUUUAGAGGAUGAUCAGCAACACUGGGACUGAGACACGGCCCAGACUCCUACGGGAGGCAGCAGUGGGGAAUCUUGGACAAUGGGCGCAAGCCUGAUCCAGCCAUGCCGCGUGAGUGAUGAAGGCCUUAGGGUCGUAAAGCUCUUUCGCCAGAGAUGAUAAUGACAGUAUCUGGUAAAGAAACCCCGGCUAACUCCGUGCCAGCAGCCGCGGUAAUACGGAGGGGGUUAGCGUUGUUCGGAAUUACUGGGCGUAAAGCGCGCGUAGGCGGAUUAGUCAGUUAGAGGUGAAAUCCCGGGGCUCAACCCCGGAACUGCCUUUAAUACUGCUAGUCUUGAGUUCGAGAGAGGUGAGUGGAAUUCCGAGUGUAGAGGUGAAAUUCGUAGAUAUUCGGAGGAACACCAGUGGCGAAGGCGGCUCACUGGCUCGAUACUGACGCUGAGGUGCGAAAGUGUGGGGAGCAAACAGGAUUAGAUACCCUGGUAGUCCACACCGUAAACGAUGAAUGCCAGUCGUCGGGUAGCAUGCUAUUCGGUGACACACCUAACGGAUUAAGCAUUCCGCCUGGGGAGUACGGUCGCAAGAUUAAAACUCAAAUGAAUUGACGG